RNAcentral lists this ribosomal RNA (407 nucleotides) under uncultured bacterium. RNAcentral's name for it is "partial 16S ribosomal RNA". It matches the Rfam family "Bacterial small subunit ribosomal RNA", at positions 30 to 526 of the family's 1533-position model. The record is from RNAcentral.
AUUGAACGCUGGCGGCAGGCCUAACACAUGCAAGUCGAGCGGAGCGCCGGACGGGUGAGUAAUGCCUAGGUAUCUGCCUGUUCGUGGUGGAUAACGUCCGGAACCGGGCGCUAUUACCGCAUCCUAUCAGACUCGCCUAGGUCCGAUUAGCUAGUUGGUGGGGUAAAGGCCUACCAAGGCGACGAUCCGUAACUGGUCUGAGAGGAUGAUCAGUCACACUGGAACUGAGACACGGUCCAGACUCCUACGGGAGGCAGCAGUGGGGAAUAUUGGACAAUGGGCGAAAGCCUGAUCCAGCCAUGCCGCGUGUGUGAAGAAGGUCUUCGGAUCGUAAAACUCUGUUAUUAGGGAAGCGGUACCUAAUCAGAAAGCAACGGCUAACUACGUGCCAGCAGCCGCGGUAAUAC